AUCCUUCAUGAGCUGGGAGACAGCCCCAGAGGUGACAGUUUCUACAAGAGCAGUCUGAAAUGCCACCUCCCAAGAAACCUCCAUGCAUCUUCCCAAGCAGAAUGAGUCACCCCUUCUUCUGCCCUUUCAUAGCCCCAACCAUCUCGAGGACAACACAUCAGCAGCAGCAGCCAUGUGGAUGUUUGUUUCUGUACCUGGAUUCUAAGUGCCUGGAGGACUGGACAUAUCUGGUUUCUAAGUUCCAGGAGGACUGGACACAUCCAUCACCCACGUGUAAACCCAGCACCUAGCACAGUGCCUGCCAUCCGAUAGGGUUUAAGACGCAUGGGAGGAAUCUAAUCAUCAGACUACCAAAGGGCUGCUAGAACUCAGAAAGGGAUCCCCAUCAUUUGGGGGAUGGGAUAAAGGUCUUCAUUUCUGUUAUUUCCAGCACCAACCUCCAUGGCUCCACUCAUUCCUGCUCCUUCCUCCUGCUAAGAUUGGCUGGUCAGGAGAGGGGUAGGGGCAGGAGCAGCUAUACCUGGUCUCCUCCACCACCCACGGUGGGGUGCACCCUUGGUGGGACCUGGUGAGCAUGACAGCACCUGGCCUAGGGGACCUGGAGCCUCCACAGCCCCACAGAGAGCAAGAGGAGCUGUUCAGCCACUUGCAGAGACAGAGAGUGCUUCAAGGACUACGUGGAGCUCUGGAGAAGCAGGGAAUUCAGGGCCCUCUUUUGUGAGGCAUGAGAAAUUUAGGCAGGAUCACGUCUACAAAAGAGGCUGUCACUUUGGCUUAUCAAUAUUUUCACCUCAUUACCCCUUCCAGAUCAGAGUGGGUGCUUUAUUUGUUUUUAUGGAUUAUUGUGUCAACCAAAACGAGAGUUCAGAGUCACUCUAAAGAUUUGAAACUCCUUCAAGAUUUG
RNAcentral lists this long non-coding RNA (904 nucleotides) under Pan troglodytes (chimpanzee). RNAcentral describes it as "long non-coding RNA NONPTRT014861". The record is from RNAcentral. Lineage: Eukaryota; Metazoa; Chordata; Mammalia; Primates; Hominidae.